GAUGAAGAACGUAGCGAAAUGCGAUAAGUAAUGUGAAUUGCAGAAUUCAGUGAAUCAUCGAAUCUUUGAACGCACAUUGCGCCCGCCAGUAUUCUGGCGGGCAUGCCUGUUCGAGCGUCAUUUCAACCAUCAAGCCCGGCUUGUGUUGGGGCCCUGCGGCUGUCCGCAGGCCCUUAAAACCAGUGGCGGGCUCGCUGUCACUCCGAGCGCAGUAAUACAUCUCGCUUUGGUCGUACAGCGGGUACCGGCCGUUAAACACCCCCCUUUUUAUCAAGGUUGACCUCGGAUCAGGUAGGAAUACCCGCUGAACUUAAGCAUAUCAAUAAGCGGAGGA
Molecule: unclassified non-coding RNA, 334 nt
Filed under: soil metagenome
Description: partial contains 5.8S ribosomal RNA, internal transcribed spacer 2, and large subunit ribosomal RNA
Rfam family: 5.8S ribosomal RNA (bases 1-120)
Source: RNAcentral